UCUGUCUCAAAGUCCCAUCGGUGAAGGCGGCCCUUCGCCCGGCCUCCCAUGUCCAUUUUGGAUAAGUCAUCUUCAUCGUCACUGUCCACAAUUUCACGGUUAUACUCUUGAUAUCCUGGGUAACAUUCAGAAUAACUCUCCGAUAUGAAGUUGGGAUCCUUCUCUCGUGCAUCUCUCUCUCUCAGUUGCUGUAGUCUCUGAUCGUCUCUCUUGAACACCGAGCCUAAACCCCUAUCCUUCUCUUCUUGAGUCAUGAGUCGGGGAUCCUGUUGAAUGUUCGCUCCUGUUUGCAUAUCAUAUGCUUGCAUGUUGAGCUGAAG
Molecule: unclassified non-coding RNA, 320 nt
Filed under: Hevea brasiliensis (rubber tree)
Lineage: Eukaryota; Viridiplantae; Streptophyta; Magnoliopsida; Malpighiales; Euphorbiaceae
Source: RNAcentral